GACGAACGCUGGCGGCGUGCCUAAUACAUGCAAGUUGAGCGCUGAAGGUUGGUACUUGUACCAACUGGAUGAGCAGCGAACGGGUGAGUAACGCGUGGGGAAUCUGCCUUUGAGCGGGGGACAACAUUUGGAAACGAAUGCUAAUACCGCAUAAAAACUUUAAACACAAGUUUUAAGUUUGAAAGAUGCAAUUGCAUCACUCAAAGAUGAUCCCGCGUUGUAUUAGCUAGUUGGUGAGGUAAAGGCUCACCAAUGCGAUGAUACAUAGCCGACCUGAGAGGGUGAUCGGCCACAUUGGGACUGAGACACGGCCCAAACUCCUACGGGAGGCAGCAGUAGGGAAUCUUCGGCAAUGGACGAAAGUCUGACCGAGCAACGCCGCGUGAGUGAAGAAGGUUUUCGGAUCGUAAAACUCUGUUGGUAGAGAAGAACGUUGGUGAGAGUGGAAAGCUCAUCAAGUGACGGUAACUACCCAGAAAGGGACGGCUAACUACGUG
RNAcentral lists this ribosomal RNA (497 nucleotides) under uncultured bacterium. RNAcentral's name for it is "partial 16S ribosomal RNA". It matches the Rfam family "Bacterial small subunit ribosomal RNA", at positions 28 to 507 of the family's 1533-position model. The record is from RNAcentral.